UGACGCUGCAACAGGAUUCUUC
This 22-nucleotide small RNA is filed under the name Mus musculus (house mouse). RNAcentral describes it as "oocyte_piRNA3535". The record is from RNAcentral. Lineage: Eukaryota; Metazoa; Chordata; Mammalia; Rodentia; Muridae.